Molecule: ribosomal RNA, 467 nt
Filed under: uncultured bacterium
Lineage: Bacteria
Description: partial 16S ribosomal RNA
Rfam family: Bacterial small subunit ribosomal RNA
Source: RNAcentral
GACGAACGCUGGCGGCGUGCUUAACACAUGCAAGUCGAACGGAAAGGCCUCUUUCGGGGGGUACUCGAGUGGCGAACGGGUGAGUAACACGUGAGUAACCUGCCCUUGACUUUGGGAUAACUUCAGGAAACUGGGGCUAAUACCGGAUAGGAGCUCCUGCUGCAUGGUGGGGGUUGGAAAGUUUCGGCGGUUGGGGAUGGACUCGCGGCUUAUCAGCUUGUUGGUGGGGUAGUGGCUUACCACGGCUUUGACGGGUAGCCGGCCUGAGAGGGUGACCGGCCACAUUGGGACUGAGGUACGGCCCAGACUCCUACGGGAGGCAGCAGUGGGGAAGAUUGCACAAUGGGUGGAAGCCUGAUGCAGCAACGCCGUGUGCGGGAUGACGGCCUUCGGGUUGUAAACCGCUUUCGCUCAUGACGAAGCUUUGUGUGACGGUAGUGGGUAAAGAAGCACCGGCUAACUACGUG